RNAcentral lists this ribosomal RNA (429 nucleotides) under uncultured bacterium. RNAcentral describes it as "bacterial SSU rRNA". It matches the Rfam family "Bacterial small subunit ribosomal RNA", at positions 355 to 776 of the family's 1533-position model. The record is from RNAcentral.
UAGGGAAUCUUCCACAAUGGGCGAAAGCCUGAUGGAGCAACGCCGCGUGGGUGAAGAAGGUCUUCGGAUCGUAAAACCCUGUUGUUAGAGAAGAAAGUGCGUGAGAGUAACUGUUCACGUUUCGACGGUAUCUAACCAGAAAGCCACGGCUAACUACGUGCCAGCAGCCGCGGUAAUACGUAGGUGGCAAGCGUUAUCCGGAUUUAUUGGGCGUAAAGGGAACGCAGGCGGUCUUUUAAGUCUGAUGUGAAAGCCUUCGGCUUAACCGGAGUAGUGCAUUGGAAACUGGGAGACUUGAGUGCAGAAGAGGAGAGUGGAACUCCAUGUGUAGCGGUGAAAUGCGUAGAUAUAUGGAAGAACACCAGUGGCGAAAGCGGCUCUCUGGUCUGUAACUGACGCUCAGGUGCGAAAGCGUGGGGAGCAAACAGG